UUGCUCCACCGAAAGAAAAAGAGUGGCGAACGGGUGAGUAACACGUGGGUAACCUGCCCAUCAGAAGGGGAUAACACUUGGAAACAGGUGCUAAUACCGUAUAACACUAUUUUCCGCAUGGAAGAAAGUUGAAAGGCGCUUUUGCGUCACUGAUGGAUGGACCCGCGGUGCAUUAGCUAGUUGGUGAGGUAACGGCUCACCAAGGCCACGAUGCAUAGCCGACCUGAGAGGGUGAUCGGCCACACUGGGACUGAGACACGGCCCAGACUCCUACGGGAGGCAGCAGUAGGGAAUCUUCGGCAAUGGACGAAAGUCUGACCGAGCAACGCCGCGUGAGUGAAGAAGGUUUUCGGAUCGUAAAACUCUGUUGUUAGAGAAGAACAAGGAUGAGAGUAGAACGUUCAUCCCUUGACGGUAUCUAACCAGAAAGCCACGGCUAACUACGUGCCAGCAGCCGCGGUAAUACGUAGGUGGCAAGCGUUGUCCGGAUUUAUUGGGCGUAAAGCGAGCGCAGGCGGUUUCUUAAGUCUGAUGUGAAAGCCCCCGGCUCAACCGGGGAGGGUCAUUGGAAACUGGGAGACUUGAGUGCAGAAGAGGAGAGUGGAAUUCCAUGUGUAGCGGUGAAAUGCGUAGAUAUAUGGAGGAACACCAGUGGCGAAGGCGGCUCUCUGGUCUGUAACUGACGCUGAGGCUCGAAAGCGUGGGGAGCGAACAGGAUUAGAUACCCUGGUAGUCCACGCCGUAAACGAUGAGUGCUAAGUGUUGGAGGGUUUCCGCCCUUCAGUGCUGCAGCAAACGCAUUAAGCACUCCGCCUGGGGAGUACGACCGCAAGGUUGAAACUCAAAGGAAUUGACGGGGGCCCGCACAAGCGGUGGAGCAUGUGGUUUAAUUCGAAGCAACGCGAAGAACCUUACCAGGUCUUGACAUCCUUUGACCACUCUAGAGAUAGAGCUUCCCCUUCGGGGGCAAAGUGACAGGUGGUGCAUGGUUGUCGUCAGCUCGUGUCGUGAGAUGUUGGGUUAAGUCCCGCAACGAGCGCAACCCUUAUUGUUAGUUGCCAUCAUUUAGUUGGGCACUCUAGCGAGACUGCCGGUGACAAACCGGAGGAAGGUGGGGAUGACGUCAAAUCAUCAUGCCCCUUAUGACCUGGGCUACACACGUGCUACAAUGGGAAGUACAACGAGUUGCGAAGUCGCGAGGCUAAGCUAAUCUCUUAAAGCUUC
RNAcentral lists this ribosomal RNA (1224 nucleotides) under Enterococcus gallinarum. Its description in RNAcentral is "bacterial SSU rRNA". It matches the Rfam family "Bacterial small subunit ribosomal RNA", at positions 73 to 1285 of the family's 1533-position model. The record is from RNAcentral. Lineage: Bacteria; Bacillati; Bacillota; Bacilli; Lactobacillales; Enterococcaceae.